AAUCCUUUCUGGCUGGUUUUAAUGGAGCAUAGUGGCUGCUGGAGAAAGCACAGCAAUUGCUGAGUUUAUAGCAUGUAUCUGAUUAAACAGUAAACUGUAAUUUGAAAUCAUGCCAAAAUACACAGAGAGCACCCUCUGCUUUUUGGUCAGAACAGAACACUUUGGAUGCAAAUGAUUUUGAUUCACUGAUUCUCUGACUAGGCAUAUUCCUCUAAUUGUACAGGGUUCUACUUAACUAUUCUGCAUGUGUAAGAAGCAUUUUUUAGGCAGAACGAUAAAAGGCAUUCUCUCAAUAUAGUCUAACUUUUACCUCCUCUGUUAAUUGAUUAAAGUCCUGGACAAUAAUACAAGACUAUUUCAAGAGCCAGUUGCAGACUCACAACUGCAAAAGUUAUUUCUUCAUUGCAGAUACUAGGAAAUCCGGCACGAGGAAACAUGUCUGGAAAACCCAAGCUGCACUACUUCAAUGGACGAGGCCGGAUGGAACCAAUUCGGUGGCUACUGGCUGCAGCUGGGGUUGAGUUUGAAGAAUCUUAGGGUAAGUUUCCUUCACUUUGAAAUAGUAACAGCAGCAAGAGUAGUAAUAGUAAGAAUUAGAAUUAGAAUUAGAAUUAGAAUUAGAAUUAGAAUUAGAAUCAGAAUUAGAAUUAGAAUUAGAAUUAGAAUUAGAAUUAGUUGUCUGAGAACACCUAACAAUUCUUAAGUCUUAGUGUCUUGAAAAGAAGAUCUCUUAACUGGAUUGUACACAAGGUCCCAGAGGUGCACACUGCAGUGUGUUAGCUGGUAUCCCCCACCCAGUUGCUUCAGUCUUCACUGAAUCACAGAAGGGCUUAGGUCAGAAGGGACUUCUCAUGACUGUCUAUUCCACAUGCCCUCUUCAAGCAAGGCCACCUCCAGCCAGUUUUCCAGGACCAUGUCCAGCUGGGUUUUGAGUAUCUGCAAGGAUGGAGAAUGUACAGCUCCUCUGGACAAUCCAGAGAGUCAAAGAGCCUUUCGUUAAGUUCAGAUGGUUGACUCUCCUUUGCUUCAGCUUGUGUCCAUUGCCCUCCAUCCUAUGGCAACAGAGGCUUUUGUCAUCAGAUCCUCUUGAAAUUCAUUAGCAUUUUAGGUUGCCUACAAAGUUGUUGUU
RNAcentral lists this long non-coding RNA (1129 nucleotides) under Cyanistes caeruleus (blue tit). RNAcentral describes it as "lncRNA (ENSCCEG00000005822.1)". The record is from RNAcentral. Lineage: Eukaryota; Metazoa; Chordata; Aves; Passeriformes; Paridae.